Molecule: unclassified non-coding RNA, 155 nt
Filed under: uncultured Leotiomycetes
Lineage: Eukaryota; Fungi; Ascomycota; Leotiomycetes
Description: sequence contains ITS2
Source: RNAcentral
UCAACCGUCAAGCCUGGCUUGCUAUUGGACUUGCUGUCCGGCUGAAGGACACGUCCCAAAGACAACGACCGUGUCGAGUGUGACCCCAGAUGCAAUGAGCUUUGUUAAGCACGCAUGUAAGGGGCCGCCCGGCCCGGCCUCAACCAUUUUUCUCA